UGCCAGCCGCCGCGGUAAUACGGAGGAUGCAAGCGUUAUCCGGAUUUAUUGGGUUUAAAGGGUGCGUAGGCGGGGCAAUUAGUCAGUGGUGAAAUCCUGCGGCUUAACCGUAGAAUUGCCAUUGAUACUGUUGCCCUUGAGUAUAGUCGAAGUGGGCGGAAUAUGUAAUGUAGCGGUGAAAUGCAUAGAUAUUACAUAGAACACCAAUUGCGAAGGCAGCUCACUAAGCUAUCACUGACGCUGAGGCACGAAAGCGUGGGGAGCGAACAGGAUUAGAUA
RNAcentral lists this ribosomal RNA (279 nucleotides) under uncultured bacterium. RNAcentral's name for it is "partial 16S ribosomal RNA". It matches the Rfam family "Bacterial small subunit ribosomal RNA", at positions 506 to 784 of the family's 1533-position model. The record is from RNAcentral.